AAUUCGAUGCAACGCGAAAAACCUUACCUGGCCUUGACAUGUACCGAAUUUACCAGAGAUGGUUUAGUGCUCGAAAGAGAACGGUAACACAGGUGCUGCAUGGCUGUCGUCAGCUCGUGUCGUGAGAUGUUGGGUUAAGUCCGCAACGAGCGCAACCCUUGCCAAUAAUUGCCAUCAUUUAGUUGGGCACUUUAUUGGGACUGCCGGUGACAAACCGGAGGAAGGUGGGGAUGACGUCAAGUCCUCAUGGCCCUUAUGGCCAGGGCUUCACACGUAAUACAAUGGUCGGUACAGAGGGUCGCCAAGCCGCAAGGUGGAGCCAAUCCCAGAAAGCCGAUCGUAGUCCGGAUUGAGGUCUGCAACUCGACCUCAUGAAGUCGGAAUCGCUAGUAAUCGCGGAUCAGCAUGUCGCGGUGAAUACGUUCCCGGGCCUU
Molecule: ribosomal RNA, 434 nt
Filed under: uncultured Methylophilaceae bacterium
Lineage: Bacteria; Pseudomonadati; Pseudomonadota; Betaproteobacteria; Nitrosomonadales; Methylophilaceae
Description: bacterial SSU rRNA
Rfam family: Bacterial small subunit ribosomal RNA
Source: RNAcentral